GGAUUGACACAUCGGUCGUGCCUUAAGGGGUAUGAACUGGUGUAGUCAAUUUCUCACCUUCUGGAGAACCGCGAUGCCCUUAAUUGGGUGUCACGGGGAACCAGGACCUUUACUUUGAAAAAAUUAGAGUGUUCAAAGCGGGCGCAUGCUCGAAUAGAUUAGCAUGGAAUAAUGGAAUAG
Molecule: ribosomal RNA, 180 nt
Filed under: uncultured Glomeromycotina
Lineage: Eukaryota; Fungi; Glomeromycota
Description: partial small subunit ribosomal RNA
Source: RNAcentral